AGAACUGUAGAGCUGAAUGUUAUCCCAAGGGUAAUCUGAUCUAACUGUUUCCUUAUCUGUAGCAUCCCAGAGAGACAAGCAUCCAACGUAUGCCUACAAAUGCCCAAUGAAGGAGGUCCUACCUACCACCUUCCAAGGUUACCUUCUGUCUCUCAUCUCCUGGGAACUAUCUGGUCUAUGGUUCUGCCGCACAACCAGAACAAAGCUUGGGGGAUAGAAUAGGAACCUGCACAAAGACUCAUUUCUUGGGAGAGAAGAAUUUCUGGCUCAACUGCCUGUGUCUCCUGCCAACCCGAGGCUGACGAAGAUGCUAAUCCGGUGGUGCUUGAACAAAACCUACAAAAUUAAAAUAGCCUCAUUUAAAGGGAAUGCAUCUGAUGACUUUGAUUUGCUUAAAAAGUAAAUAUUUUUCCUCCCCUGUAAAGCGACAACAUACAAGAAGGCCACAAAUUUUAAGGCAAUAAAAUAGGUAUUUCUCAA
Anolis carolinensis (green anole) is the source of this 480-nucleotide long non-coding RNA. RefSeq lists it as uncharacterized. The transcript has 2 exons. NCBI's taxonomy places the organism in Eukaryota, Metazoa, Chordata, Lepidosauria, Squamata, Anolidae. The record is from RefSeq and is a predicted model, not a curated record.